GUAGAGCAUAUUGUCAAAGGUGCGCUCGGUGGAGCGUGUGAGAACGUCUAUUAGAUCGAAAUCCACGCGGGCAAGCACCUGAAAUGGCAGAAGAGUGGUUGAAAGAGAGAAACUGAGCACAUCAAACAGCAAAGAAUUCACUAACACGUUGACGUCUUCACCACACUAAAAUCUCUUUCGGCUACCAACAACUUGUCCGCAUGCAUAAAAGCAACAGCAAACCAAGAGCCGAGAGAGAGAGAGAGAGAACGUGGGGAAUAAUUGAUCCUCACCAAGCGCUUGUCUCUCUGAGCGUGGUGCGCUUACCACAAACCCCGUUAGUUAGAGUCAAAUAAAUUG
Long non-coding RNA from Drosophila guanche, 339 nucleotides. RefSeq lists it as uncharacterized. The transcript is spliced from 3 exons. The record is from RefSeq and is a predicted model, not a curated record. Lineage: Eukaryota; Metazoa; Arthropoda; Insecta; Diptera; Drosophilidae.